Canis lupus familiaris (dog) is the source of this 846-nucleotide long non-coding RNA. RefSeq lists it as uncharacterized. Lineage: Eukaryota; Metazoa; Chordata; Mammalia; Carnivora; Canidae. The transcript has 3 exons. The record is from RefSeq and is a predicted model, not a curated record.
AGUCCCCACACCACCCCCGGCCCUCAGCAGUCCCUUCAUCUCUGUCCCUGCCCCACGCAGCAUGGGGUAUGCCCACCCUCGCACGGCUCCAUCCUCCACCCUGGACGCCUCCGUCGACCAAGGAAGAGACACAAAGGGCAUUGCUCUGCCUUAAAGUCUUCCGAAUGGCGCCAGGCAGGAGCGUGCACUCUGUAUAACACGGGCCUCACUCACGCCGUUGACCGUGACACCUGCUGAGCAGCCUCCAUGUCCUGCCCGGGGCUCAGGUGGACGCAGGGAGGGAGCUGCCGUGAGUUCCAGGAACACCAGAGAGCCUCUUCUCCACCUGCUCCCUACGCGUCUGAAAUGAGAUGCCGGCCGUGAAGGAAACUCCGUCUUGUGCAUCCCUGGCCAGUCCAGGGCUCAUCAGUGGACAAGCCCACAGGAGACCCAGGUGCUGCGGUCCAGGACGGGGCCGGCCCCAGGGAUGGGGACAGGAGCCCAUCAGGCUGCAGGCCCCUGAGCCGGCGCUCAAGGUGGAGGAGCGACAGCUCAGUACGGACUCCUCAUCGCCGUUCAGAGGACAGCUAUACCAUUGUUCCGGGCCUAGGGUUUAUUAUAUUUUUGUUUUUUUUUUAAUUUAAGUUUGAAGGAGAGUUUGAUAUGUGUAUAUUUUGUGCUUACUUAUUAUUUAGUUUUUCUUUUUUCCUCUUGGGAUCAUACAGUGAAAGCAUUUAAAUUCAUCUUUCAGGAGAUAAAAGAAGCCAAACAUCUUUCAUCCACUUUAUGCAUUUUUACUAAUUUUUUUUUUAUAACAUUUUGUACUGGCAUCCUGAAGGGUGCAAUUUCAUGAGUCAGGAGAAUAAA